Molecule: long non-coding RNA, 336 nt
Filed under: Elaeis guineensis (African oil palm)
Lineage: Eukaryota; Viridiplantae; Streptophyta; Magnoliopsida; Arecales; Arecaceae
Description: long non-coding RNA (EGUI_LNC025761)
Source: RNAcentral
UCAAGGAGUAAAAUUAUUAUGUCAUGGCUAUUAUGAAAUGAUUAGAUUUAUUGUUCACAUAGCUUUGUAUGUCUGCAGGAUCUGCCUUGCUGGGAUACGAUGUCUAUUACGCUCUGAAUUUGGGGCAGUAGAUUUCAAAAUGCUCUACACUUUAUCAUUUUUCCAUUGGCAUAGAUCUCAAAGUUUAUGCACUUGAUACUGGCAUAGAUCUCAAAAUGAGUUUAUGCACAGAUCUCUACAUGCGUCAUCUUCUCCAUGCUCACACCGCUCCGACCCCAACUCAUCUCUUCCUUCAAUGAGACUGAGGCCUCCAAUGACAAUGAGAUCCAUGCCACC